CACUAAUUUAUCUUCAUUCCUUGUUAUAAUCAAGUCUAAGGUGUGGCCUUUCUUGUGGGUUGGCCCAUUGACGUGCUGUUGUAAAUUAAACGAUUCCAGUAUCUUGUUGAGUUUAAUAGUAUCUGAAUCUCCAAUGUUAUCUAUAUGAAAAUUAAAGUCUCCUGCCAUUAAUAUAUUGCCAGGUAAUAUGAUCAACUGUUCCACAAAUAUGCAGAAUUCUUCAAAAAAUAUUGAGCUGCUUAAUUUAUUAGUCUUCGAUGGGGGUGGUCUAUAAAUGACAAUCAUUCUGGUGCAGGUAUUACGGCAGUUCAAGGUGACAUCAAUAUAUUCAAAAGAAGAGAAUUUUCUCUGAGAUUGUUUUUUGACUUUAAUAUGUUUCUUCAGUAAGAGACCAACUCCUCCACCUCGUGCAUUUUUCCUUGUAAUGUGAUAAAAGUGAUACCCCGUUGGGCAGAUUUCAGCAAUAGAAAAUUCAUUAUCAUCCUCACGUAACCAUGUCUCAGUCAUUGCUAGAAUAUCAACAUCGUUCUCAGACACAUAAUCAUUAAUAAAAAGUUCUUUCCUAUUUAUUGAUCUGGUAUUCAACAGGCAAAAGUUGAUAGGCAUAAAAUAAGUCUUCUGUUCCCUUGUACAAUUGACAUAAAUUAAAUUAUUAAAAUUUACAGAUCGAGUUCGUUCCGUAUUCUUAGUAUCUCUCGAGGGACUAUUUGCAUCUUUUUCAGCACUCAUUACAUGAUUUCCUAAUAAUAAAAUUGGAACCACCCUAUUUUGUCUCUUCCCCAUGAUUCCGUACGAAAAUCCUCGUUAUUUCUACCAUUAUUCCCAUUUCGAAUUUUCGACUGUUCGUAGGGUUUUGAAAUAUUACUCUUACAAUAAUCAGUACAAAUAUUUUUGCACUCAUUUCGUUUUGAAUUGGAUUUUCUACCCACGUUUUUUACUCGUUUCCUUGUAGUAAUACGGGUGGGAAUGGAUUGUUGCUGAUUAUUAUUAUAAUUGGACUGGUUUGCGUUAUUAUUCUGAUAAAAGCGUUGUCGUGUAUAUCCAUUUUGCUUAUCAUUUAAUUGGCUAUGUGUGCUAUCGGAGGACUUUGUCUGUGUUAAUGAAUAUAGUGUGUUGCCAUUACAAUCCUUUCUCUUAUUUGCGUAACGAGCUUUAUUCGAAAUAUUUGAAAUAUGUAAUUGGAUUUGUGCUGGGCUCUCAGGAACGGAAUUAUUCUCGCCCACACUAAUAGUGUUCAAUUUCGCAUCAUUUAAACAUUGCUCUUAUGCCCGAUCUAAUUGUUUAACACCCGAUGGCUUUCAGCCCGACUGAUUAUGCCCGAUCUAAUUGUUUAACACCCGAUGGCUUUCAGCCCGACUGAUUAUGCCCGAUCUAAUUGUUGAACACCCGAUGGCUUUCAGCCCGACUGAUUAUGCCCGAUCUAAUUGUUUAACACCCGAUGGCUUUCAGCCCGACUGAUUAUGCCCGAUCUAAUUGUUUAACACCCGAUGGCUUUCAGCCCGACUGAUUAUGCCCGAUCUAAUUGUUUAACACCCGAUGGCUUUCAGCCCGACUGAUUAUGCCCGAUCUAAUUGUUUAAAACCCGAUGGCUUUAAGCCCAACUGAUUAUGCCCGAUCUAAUUGUUGAACACCCGAUGGCUUUAAGCCCGACUGAUUAUGCCCGAUCUAAUUGUUUAACACCCGAUGGCUUUAAGCCCGACUGAUUAUGCCCGAUCUAAUUGUUUAAAGCCCGAUUAAAUUGUUUAACGCCCGAUUGAAUUGUUUAACGCCCGAUUAAAUUGUUUAACGCCCGAUUGAAUUGUUUAACGCCCGAUUGAAUUGUUUAACGCCCGAUUGUUUAAAGCCCGAUUGAAUUGUUUAAAGCCCGAUUGAAUUGUUUAACACCCAAUGGCUUUCAGCCCGCAUUAAUUAAACACUGUCCGAUCCAAUUGUAUUUUUGUCCCGAUCCAAUUGCAUUUUUGUCCAUAUCCACACCUCAUACAGUUGGUAGAACAUUGGGCUAGUAUCCCAAAGGUGGCGGGUUCGACUGCCACCGUGGCCAAGCAAACUUUUCAGCUUGCCCGCUGUGGAUGCAUAUUCAGAGUAACGUCACAAAUAUCAUACUAAAACUCCGUUUUCUGACCAUCAGAAUUCUGUCAAAACUUCUCCAAAGUCCAUGCAGGAAAUGGCAUUUCAGAGAAUCUAAAUUUAAAAAUUUCCUCGGGCCUUCGGCCCUCGUUCCCAGCCCCCAAUAAAAAUGAGCUUCCUACGAUGCAAAAACUAGACUUGCUCCAAGUAAUUGUAUGUAACGUACAAUAUAGAUGUACAAUAUAUAGAUGUCCACAAAGAGAGACUUGGAGCAAAUCUAUGCAAAAACAUGCAGUUGACUGGCCAGAAGGCGGGGCCUUCAGCCAAUACAGCGCGUUUAUUGGCCAGAAAAUGUAAUCGACUGGCUAGGAAGAUGGCGGCCAGGGGCCCUUCUGUGUGCCUUAUUCUGUGCCAUGGGCACAGAAUACUACACCACAGAAUAGAUACUGGACCAGAAGUGUCACUCAGACGCACUGCUCAGACGAUAUUUUUCCGAAAUUCUACGAGUGCUGACGUGAAAAUACGCCAUCAUAUCACGCCAUCCUGGAGUGCACACGGAAGUUUUUCAUAGGCCAAGCACAGCCUCGUACCCAGGCGCUAAAAAUGGGCACACUACAAUGUUUUUAUAUAGAUCAGUGGCGCAACCACCCCGCGCCACAGAAUAAGGUACACAGCAACCUCGUCCCAGGGACCGCGGAGACGGGGGGGGGGGGCUGGGGGGGGCUUUAGCCCCCCCACUUUUUUUGACAGCCAAAAUUAUUAAAAUAGAAAUCUAAAUGAAACUUUCUAAAUUAAUUAAUUGGGGGUUUUAUUGAUGAUUUAGCCCCCCCCACUCUCUAAUACGCUACGCGGGCCCUGCGUCCCCAGGGCCUAUUGAGGAAGGAGGCGAAGCUGCCCUUAGCAUCUUUCCUCAAAAGGCCCUGGGGACGAGGUUGGCCACAGAAGGUCGACUCGAGUAACGCUGCCACGCCAUGAUUCAUCAUCAAAAUGCUGACGCCAUGGUCAUAGGCAGUGCGGGUUUGAGAGGCAUUCCCCCCUGGACAUCUGCCAUUUUGAAUAAUAUCAGGGUGGUGAAUGCCUCUCAAACGCGCACUGGCUAGGACCAUGGCGUCAGCAUUUGAUGACGAAUUACGGGUUACGCCAAAAUCAUAGCAAAAUCAUAGGAAAAACAAAGAAGUCGGCCUUCUGUGUACCUUAUUCUGUGCCCGCGCGCUCGCUCAUCUUAGCCACUGAUCUAUAUAAAAGUACUGUAGUGUGCCUAUUUUUAGUUAAUUGCGCCUGGGUACGAGGCUGGGCCAAGCACAGGUACAAAGUGCUGUGUGCACUCCAGGAUGGCGUCAUAGCACGUAAAAAAAUUUUGGACAUUUUCCUUCAGCCAAAACACAUAGGAGUGUCACUUCUGGUCCGGUAUGUAUUCUGUGACUACACAUAUAAAGUCCAUAUGGCUUCAUUGUUUUUUGCGUAAGCUCUAUUCGUCAUGAUUCGUCACUCAGCAAGUACCGUAAACAGAAGCAGUCACCCCCUGGACAUGCGCCAUU
RNAcentral lists this long non-coding RNA (3605 nucleotides) under Paramuricea clavata. Lineage: Eukaryota; Metazoa; Cnidaria; Anthozoa; Malacalcyonacea; Plexauridae. The record is from RNAcentral.